UAGCGCAGCCUGGUAGCGCAUCUGCUUUGGGAGCAGAGGGUCGGCGGUUCGAAUCCGUC
This 59-nucleotide transfer RNA is filed under the name Rhodospirillaceae bacterium. RNAcentral describes it as "tRNA-Pro". It matches the Rfam family "tRNA", at positions 8 to 63 of the family's 71-position model. Rfam says of the family: Transfer RNA (tRNA) molecules are approximately 80 nucleotides in length. Their secondary structure includes four short double-helical elements and three loops (D, anti-codon, and T loops). Lineage: Bacteria; Pseudomonadati; Pseudomonadota; Alphaproteobacteria; Rhodospirillales; Rhodospirillaceae. The record is from RNAcentral.